AAAUUGAAGAGUUUGAUCAUGGCUCAGAUUGAACGCUGGCGGCAGGCCUAACACAUGCAAGUCGAACGGUAGCACAGAGAGCUUGCUCUCGGGUGACGAGUGGCGGACGGGUGAGUAAUGUCUGGGAAACUGCCUGAUGGAGGGGGAUAACUACUGGAAACGGUAGCUAAUACCGCAUAACGUCGCAAGACCAAAGAGGGGGACCUUCGGGCCUCUUGCCAUCAGAUGUGCCCAGAUGGGAUUAGCUAGUAGGUGGGGUAACGGCUCACCUAGGCGACGAUCCCUAGCUGGUCUGAGAGGAUGACCAGCCACACUGGAACUGAGACACGGUCCAGACUCCUACGGGAGGCAGCAGUGGGGAAUAUUGCACAAUGGGCGCAAGCCUGAUGCAGCCAUGCCGCGUGUAUGAAGAAGGCCUUCGGGUUGUAAAGUACUUUCAGCGGGGAGGAAGGUGUUGUGGCUAAUAACCGCAGCAAUUGACGUUACCCGCAGAAGAAGCACCGGCUAACUCCGUGCCAGCAGCCGCGGUAAUACGGAGGGUGCAAGCGUUAAUCGGAAUUACUGGGCGUAAAGCGCACGCAGGCGGUCUGUCAAGUCGGAUGUGAAAUCCCCGGGCUCAACCUGGGAACUGCAUUCGAAACUGGCAGGCUAGAGUCUUGUAGAGGGGGUAGAAUUCCAGGUGUAGCGGUGAAAUGCGUAGAGAUCUGGAGGAAUACCGGUGGCGAAGGCGGCCCCUGGACAAAGACUGACGCUCAGGUGCGAAAGCGUGGGGAGCAAACAGGAUUAGAUACCCUGGUAGUCCACGCCGUAAACGAUGUCGACUUGGAGGUUGUGCCCUUGAGGCGUGGCUUCCGGAGCUAACGCGUUAAGUCGACCGCCUGGGGAGUACGGCCGCAAGGUUAAAACUCAAAUGAAUUGACGGGGGCCCGCACAAGCGGUGGAGCAUGUGGUUUAAUUCGAUGCAACGCGAAGAACCUUACCUACUCUUGACAUCCAGAGAACUUAGCAGAGAUGCUUUGGUGCCUUCGGGAACUCUGAGACAGGUGCUGCAUGGCUGUCGUCAGCUCGUGUUGUGAAAUGUUGGGUUAAGUCCCGCAACGAGCGCAACCCUUAUCCUUUGUUGCCAGCGGUCCGGCCGGGAACUCAAAGGAGACUGCCAGUGAUAAACUGGAGGAAGGUGGGGAUGACGUCAAGUCAUCAUGGCCCUUACGAGUAGGGCUACACACGUGCUACAAUGGCGCAUACAAAGAGAAGCGAACUCGCGAGAGCAAGCGGACCUCAUAAAGUGCGUCGUAGUCCGGAUUGGAGUCUGCAACUCGACUCCAUGAAGUCGGAAUCGCUAGUAAUCGUAGAUCAGAAUGCUACGGUGAAUACGUUCCCGGGCCUUGUACACACCGCCCGUCACACCAUGGGAGUGGGUUGCAAAAGAAGUAGGUAGCUUAACCUUCGGGAGGGCGCUUACCACUUUGUGAUUCAUGACUGGGGUGAAGUCGUAACAAGGUAACCGUAGGGGAACCUGCGGUUGGAUCACCUCCUUA
RNAcentral lists this ribosomal RNA (1538 nucleotides) under Enterobacter sp. Z1. Its description in RNAcentral is "bacterial SSU rRNA". It matches the Rfam family "Bacterial small subunit ribosomal RNA". The record is from RNAcentral. Lineage: Bacteria; Pseudomonadati; Pseudomonadota; Gammaproteobacteria; Enterobacterales; Enterobacteriaceae.